CCUACGGGUGGCAGCAGUGAGGAAUAUUGGUCAAUGGCCGGAAGGCUGAACCAGCCAAGCCGCGUGAAGGACGAAGGUGCCAAGCAUUGUAAACUUCUUUUGUCAAGGGAUAAAAUCAGGCUCGAGAGCCUGACCGUGGGUACUUGAAGAAAAAGCAUCGGCUAACUCCGUGCCAGCAGCCGCGGUAAUACGGAGGAUUCGAGCGUUAUCCGGAUUUAUUGGGUUUAAAGGGUGCGUAGGCGGGCUGUUAAGUCAGGGGUGAAAGGUCGGGGCUCAACCCCGGCAGGGCGUUGGAUACUGGCUGUCUUGAGAUGUCGAGAGGUAUGCGGAAUGCGCAGUGUAGCGGUGAAAUGCUUAGAUAUUGCGCAGAACUCCGAUUGCGAAGGCAGCAUACCGGCGGCGAUCUGACGCUGAGGCACGAAAGCGUGGGUAUCGAACAGGAUUAGAUACCCCAGUAGUC
RNAcentral lists this ribosomal RNA (460 nucleotides) under uncultured bacterium. RNAcentral's name for it is "partial 16S ribosomal RNA". It matches the Rfam family "Bacterial small subunit ribosomal RNA", at positions 338 to 795 of the family's 1533-position model. The record is from RNAcentral.